UACGGGGGGGGCAAGCGUUGUUCGGAAUUACUGGGCGUAAAGGGCUCGUAGGCGGCCAACUAAGUCGGAUGUGAAAUCCCCAGGCUCAACUUGGGAACUGCAUCCGAUACUGGAUGGCUUGAAUCCGGGAGAGGGAUGCGGAAUUCCAGGUGUAGCGGUGAAAUGCGUAGAUAUCAGGAGGAACACCGGUGGUGUAAACGGCUUUCUGGACCAUAACUGACACUGAGGCACGAAAGCGUGGGUAGCAAACGGG
This 253-nucleotide ribosomal RNA is filed under the name uncultured bacterium. RNAcentral describes it as "partial 16S ribosomal RNA". It matches the Rfam family "Bacterial small subunit ribosomal RNA", at positions 524 to 776 of the family's 1533-position model. The record is from RNAcentral.